UACGGAGGGAGCAAGCGUUAUCCGGAAUCACUGGGUUUAAAGGGUGCGUAGGCGGCUUAAUAAGUCAGAGGUGAAAGGCUGUGGCUCAACCAUGGGAUUGCCUUUGAUACUGUUAGGCUUGAAUCAGGCUGAGGUUGGCAGAAUGUGGCAUGUAGCGGUGAAAUGCAUAGAUAUGCCAUAGAAUCCCGAUUGCGAGGGCAGCUGACUGGCCAUUGAUUGACGCUGAGGCACGAAACCGUGGGGAGCGUACAGG
This 253-nucleotide ribosomal RNA is filed under the name uncultured bacterium. RNAcentral describes it as "partial 16S ribosomal RNA". It matches the Rfam family "Bacterial small subunit ribosomal RNA", at positions 524 to 776 of the family's 1533-position model. The record is from RNAcentral.